This is a non-coding RNA of Trichobilharzia regenti, 50 nucleotides long. The record is from Rfam. Lineage: Eukaryota; Metazoa; Platyhelminthes; Trematoda; Strigeidida; Schistosomatidae.
GUACUGCUGAAGAGUCCCAAAAUAGGACGGAGGAAACAGUUGUCCAGUAC